This 426-nucleotide ribosomal RNA is filed under the name uncultured bacterium. RNAcentral describes it as "partial 16S ribosomal RNA". It matches the Rfam family "Bacterial small subunit ribosomal RNA", at positions 354 to 796 of the family's 1533-position model. The record is from RNAcentral.
GUGAGGAAUUUUCCGCAAUGGGCGAAAGCCUGACGGAGCAAUGCCGCGUGAAGGAUGAAGGCCUAUGGGUUGUAAACUUCUUUUCUUAGAGUAGAAUAUUGACGGUAUCUGAAGAAUAAGCAUCGGCUAACUCUGUGCCAGCAGCCGCGGUAAGACAGAGGAUGCAAGCGUUAUCCGGAAUGAUCGGGCGUAAAGCGUCUGUAGGUGGCUUCAAAAGUCUCCUGUCAACGAUCAGGGCUUAACCCUGGGCCGGCAGGGGAAACUCUAGGGCUAGAGUUUAGUAGGGUCAGAGGGAAUUCCCGGUGGAGCGGUGAAAUGCGUAGAGAUCGGUAGGAACACCAAAGGCGAAAGCACUCUGCUGGGCCACAACUGACACUGAGAGACGAAAGCGAGGGGAGCAAAAGUGAUUAGAUACCCGUGUAGUCC